UGGGUUGUGGCUCAGUGGUAAAGCGCUAGUCUUGCAUGCAUGGAACACUGGGUUCAAUCCUCAGCACCACAU
This 72-nucleotide transfer RNA is filed under the name Urocitellus parryii (Arctic ground squirrel). RNAcentral's name for it is "Spermophilus parryii (Arctic ground squirrel) tRNA". It matches the Rfam family "tRNA". From Rfam's summary of the family: Transfer RNA (tRNA) molecules are approximately 80 nucleotides in length. Their secondary structure includes four short double-helical elements and three loops (D, anti-codon, and T loops). Further hydrogen bonds mediate the characteristic L-shaped molecular structure. tRNAs have two regions of fundamental functional importance: the anti-codon, which is responsible for specific mRNA codon recognition, and the 3' end, to which the tRNAs corresponding amino acid is attached (by aminoacyl-tRNA synthetases). tRNAs cope with the degeneracy of the genetic code in two manners: having more than one tRNA (with a specific anti-codon) for a particular amino acid; and 'wobble' base-pairing, i.e. permitting non-standard base-pairing at the 3rd anti-codon position. The record is from Rfam by way of RNAcentral. RNAcentral also lists the same sequence under 1 other name. Lineage: Eukaryota; Metazoa; Chordata; Mammalia; Rodentia; Sciuridae.